AAUAUUGCGCAAUGGAGGGAACUCUGACGCAGCGACGCCGCGUGAGCGAUGAAGGUUUUCGGAUCGUAAAGCUCUGUCCUUGGGGAAGAAGGUCUUCGGACUUGACGGUACCUAAGGAGGAAGCCCCGGCUAACUACGUGCCAGCAGCCGCGGUAGUACGUAGGGGGCAAGCGUUGUCCGGAAUUAUUGGGCGUAAAGGGUGCGUAGGCGGCUUUUUAAGUCAGAUGUGAAAGGCUACGGCUUAACCGUAGUUAGCAUUUGAAACUAAAAGGCUUGAGUGCAGGAGAGGAGAGUGGAAUUCCUAGUGUAGCGGUGAAAUGCGUAGAUAUCGGGAGGAACACCAGUGGCGAAGGCGACUACCUGGACGACAACUGACGCUGAGGCACGAAAGCUAGGGGAGCAAAC
This 405-nucleotide ribosomal RNA is filed under the name uncultured bacterium. Its description in RNAcentral is "partial 16S ribosomal RNA". It matches the Rfam family "Bacterial small subunit ribosomal RNA", at positions 360 to 773 of the family's 1533-position model. The record is from RNAcentral.